ACUCAAAUGAAUUGACGGGGGCCCGCACAAGCGGUGGAGCAUGUGGUUUAAUUCGAUGCAACGCGAAGAACCUUACCUGGGUUUGACAUCCUCUGACAGCUCUAGAGAUAGAGUCUUGUAGCAAUACACAGAGAGACAGGUGCUGCAUGGCUGUCGUCAGCUCGUAUCGUGAGAUGUCGGGUUAAGUCCCUUAACGAGCGCAACCCUUAUGCUUAGUUGCCACCAUUUAGUUGGGCACUCUAAGCAGACUGCCGGUGUUAAACCGGAGGAAGGUGGGGAUGACGUCAAGUCCUCAUGGCCUUUAUAUCCAGGGCGACACACGUGCUACAAUGGCCGGUACAAAGGGUCGCCAACCCGCGAGGGGGAGCUAAUCUCAGAAAACCGGUCUCAGUUCGGAUCGAAGUCUGCAAUUCGACUUCGUGAAGCUGGAAUCGCUAGUAAUCGCGGAUCAGAACGCCGCGGUGAAUACGUUCCCGGGCCUUGUACACACCGCCCGU
RNAcentral lists this ribosomal RNA (497 nucleotides) under uncultured bacterium. Its description in RNAcentral is "partial 16S ribosomal RNA". It matches the Rfam family "Bacterial small subunit ribosomal RNA", at positions 899 to 1397 of the family's 1533-position model. The record is from RNAcentral.